RNAcentral lists this ribosomal RNA (400 nucleotides) under uncultured bacterium. RNAcentral's name for it is "bacterial SSU rRNA". It matches the Rfam family "Bacterial small subunit ribosomal RNA", at positions 356 to 773 of the family's 1533-position model. The record is from RNAcentral.
GGGGAAUAUUGGACAAUGGGGGAAACCCUGAUCCAGCCAUGCCGCGUGAGUGAUGAAGGCCCUAGGGUUGUAAAGCUCUUUUGUGCGGGAAGAUAAUGACGGUACCGCAAGAAUAAGCCCCGGCUAACUUCGUGCCAGCAGCCGCGGUAAUACGAAGGGGGCUAGCGUUGCUCGGAAUCACUGGGCGUAAAGGGUGCGUAGGCGGAUCUUUAAGUCAGAGGUGAAAGCCUGGAGCUCAACUCCAGAACUGCCUUUGAUACUGGGGAUCUUGAGUUCGGGAGAGGUGAGUGGAACUGCGAGUGUAGAGGUGAAAUUCGUAGAUAUUCGCAAGAACACCAGUGGCGAAGGCGGCUCACUGGCCCGAGACUGACGCUGAGGCACGAAAGCGUGGGGAGCAAAC